CUAAGUUUUAAAUGAAUAUAGUAUUUAGCAAUUUAAUCAAUUUCGGAUUAAGUGUAUCUAUUCUUUCGCCUUUUACUAAAGAAUACUUAAAAUAAGAGCACAAUUUUUGCUUCCGAUGUA
This 120-nucleotide small nuclear RNA is filed under the name Bigelowiella natans. RNAcentral describes it as "U5 snRNA". The record is from RNAcentral. Lineage: Eukaryota; Cercozoa; Chlorarachniophyceae.